AGGGCUAUAUGACGCGUGUUCGAAUUACCCUCCGCCAUCUUUCCACCAGCCGGAAUCAGUGAUACAACUCAACGUGACUCUUCGCUCUCCAUCCUUGUCUACCAUACACGCCAUAUUGCCGCGUCUACUGCUGUCGCAGUGCACCGUGGGAAAUACGCUAUCAGGGAAGCUACCAAAAUGGCGGCCCACUAACUUCUGCGCCUAGAUAGAGAUUUAUACUGAAUCUUUAUUU
This is a long non-coding RNA of Bombus pascuorum, 232 nucleotides long. RefSeq lists it as uncharacterized. The record is from RefSeq and is a predicted model, not a curated record. The transcript has 2 exons. NCBI's taxonomy places the organism in Eukaryota, Metazoa, Arthropoda, Insecta, Hymenoptera, Apidae.